AUUAUUGGAAAUGAAAUGUUAUUCGUUUAUAAAGAUAUCUAGUUUUUUUAGAAAUAAAUUUAAUUUAAAAAUUUUUAAUUUUAUUAAUUAAUUAUAUUAAUUAAUAAAUUUAUGAGUUUAAAUAUUUUAAGGGAUAAGCUUUAAAAUAAAUUUUUAUAAAUUAAUAAAUGAUAAUUAAAAUUAUAUGCAUAGAAUUAGUAAUUAUUAAAAAUUUUGUUAUAAAUUAUUUUAUAAAAUAUAUUAUUUAUUAUAAUUUUAAAUUUUUAUAAAAAUAUUUUUUUUAAUUUUAUUUAAAAAGUAAUAAUGAUAAAAUUAGUAUAUUUAUAUUAUGUUAAUAUAAUUUAUUUUGAUAAGUUUAUAUAAAGAACUCGGCAAAUAUUUUACUCGCCUGUUUAACAAAAACAUGUCUUUUUGCGUUAUUUUUAAAGUCUAACCUGCCCAAUGAAUAAAUUUUAAUGGCCGCAGUAUUUUGACUGUGCAAAGGUAGCAUAAUCAUUAGUCUUUUAAUUGAAGGCUUGAAUGAAUGGUUGGACGAAGUAUAAUCUGUUUCAUUUAAAUUUAUUAUAGAAUUUUAUAUUUAGUCAAAAAGCUAAAAUAUUUUUAAAAGACGAGAAGACCCUAUAAAUCUUUAUAAUUUAUAUUAUUUUUAUUUUUUAUAUUUAUUUUAUUUAAAUAAUUUGAAUUAUUUUGUUGGGGUGAUAUUAAAAUUUAAUAAACUUUUAAUUUAAUUAUUUCAUUAAUUUAUGUUUUAUUGAUCCAUUAAUAAUGAUUAAAAGAAUAAGUUACUUUAGGGAUAACAGCGUAAUUUUUUUGGAGAGUUCUUAUUGAUAAAAAAGUUUGCGACCUCGAUGUUGGAUUAAGAUAAAAUUUUAGGUGUA
Molecule: ribosomal RNA, 878 nt
Filed under: Trupanea arboreae
Lineage: Eukaryota; Metazoa; Arthropoda; Insecta; Diptera; Tephritidae
Description: partial 16S ribosomal RNA
Source: RNAcentral